AUUCUUAAUGGGGAGCCAGGUGCUCCUUUCUUUCACCGAUGUGGAUUGAGGCAGGGCGACCCUCUGUCACCUCUUCUCUUCCUGCUUGCCAUCGACCCACUUCAGAGAAUUUUGGAGAAGGCCACCGAGGAGCACAUUCUUAGUCCCAUCAGCCACCGAUCGGCCUCUGUGAGGAUCAACCUGUACGCAGAUGAUGCCGCACUCUUCUUAAACCCAAGCAAAACGGAGGUGGCUGCCCUCCAAGAAAUUUUGGCUGCUUUUGGCAAUGUUUCA
This 273-nucleotide ribosomal RNA is filed under the name Triticum aestivum (bread wheat). Its description in RNAcentral is "partial small subunit ribosomal RNA". Lineage: Eukaryota; Viridiplantae; Streptophyta; Magnoliopsida; Poales; Poaceae. The record is from RNAcentral.